CCUACGGGUGGCAGCAGUGGGGAAUAUUGCACAAUGGGGGAAACCCUGAUGCAGCGACGCCGCGUGAGUGAAGAAGUAAUUCGUGAUGUAAAGCUCUAUCAGCAGGGAAGAAAAGGACGGUACCUGAGGAAGAAGCACCGGCUAACGACGUGCCAGCAGCCGCGGUAAUACGUAGGGGGCAAGCGUUAGCCGGAUUUACUGGGUGUAAAGGGAGCGUAGACGGCAGUUCAAGGCUGGAGUGAAAGGCGGGGGCUCACCCCCCGGACUGCUCUGGAAACGGUACGGCUGGAGUGCAGGAGAGGUACGUGGACUUCCUUGUGUAGCCGUUACUUGCUUCGCUAUUAGGCGGAACCCCAGUGGCGAAGGCGGCUUACUGUACUGUAACUGACUUU
This 392-nucleotide ribosomal RNA is filed under the name uncultured bacterium. RNAcentral describes it as "partial 16S ribosomal RNA". It matches the Rfam family "Bacterial small subunit ribosomal RNA", at positions 338 to 747 of the family's 1533-position model. The record is from RNAcentral.